Molecule: small nuclear RNA, 104 nt
Organism: Trichosurus vulpecula (common brushtail)
Lineage: Eukaryota; Metazoa; Chordata; Mammalia; Diprotodontia; Phalangeridae
Source: RefSeq, a predicted model, not a curated record
AUUUCAACCACACAUAUAAUUAAUAAACUUGGAACAAUACAGAAAAGAUUAGCAUGGCCCCGUACAAGGGUGACAUGUAAAUUCAUGAAGCUUUCCAUAUUUUU